AAUCAAAUUUUGUAACGCCCUAAA
RNAcentral lists this non-coding RNA (24 nucleotides) under Gossypium hirsutum (cotton). Lineage: Eukaryota; Viridiplantae; Streptophyta; Magnoliopsida; Malvales; Malvaceae. The record is from RNAcentral.